This 428-nucleotide ribosomal RNA is filed under the name Gemmatimonadota bacterium. RNAcentral describes it as "Gemmatimonadetes bacterium partial 16S ribosomal RNA". It matches the Rfam family "Bacterial small subunit ribosomal RNA", at positions 355 to 776 of the family's 1533-position model. The record is from RNAcentral. Lineage: Bacteria; Pseudomonadati; Gemmatimonadota.
UAGGGAAUCUUCGGCAAUGGACGAAAGUCUGACCGAGCAACGCCGCGUGAGUGAAGAAGGUUUUCGGAUCGUAAAACUCUGUUGUUAGAGAAGAACAAGGACGUUAGUAACUGAACGUCCCCUGACGGUAUCUAACCAGAAAGCCACGGCUAACUACGUGCCAGCAGCCGCGGUAAUACGUAGGUGGCAAGCGUUGUCCGGAUUUAUUGGGCGUAAAGCGAGCGCAGGCGGUUUCUUAAGUCUGAUGUGAAAGCCCCCGGCUCAACCGGGGAGGGUCAUUGGAAACUGGGAGACUUGAGUGCAGAAGAGGAGAGUGGAAUUCCAUGUGUAGCGGUGAAAUGCAAGAUAUAUGGAGGAACACCAGUGGCGAAGGCGGCUCUCUGGUCUGUAACUGACGCUGAGGCUCGAAAGCGUGGGGAGCAAACAGG